GGACAGAUCAACGUCGCCCGACUCAGCAACAGCUUUGCUAUAGGGGGAAUUUAAAACUGAGAUUCGAUUUGCCUGGGUUACAGAAAGGUAUACAGACAAGGAGGCAUAUACCUACACCUCUGAUGAAUAUAACAGGAAACCUGCUCGAUCACCAUUCGCUGCAAAAUCAUUCAGACUAUGGAUACGGAGAACAUCAACAUGCCAGAGGAUAUACCCAUUGGACUUGGGGCUCUGCUGGGAGUUUACCUCAUAUUUAGAUUUUUUUUAUUCUGCUUUGCUACUAAAAUCAUAACAAACACUGAGAACUAAAAUAUUGUGUUGUUAUUAGUAUGCAUAUUAUUAUGCAUAAUAAUAACUGGGCUGGUGGGGUAUUUAAAAAAUUACUCCAAAAUGUUCUUCAAAAGGUUCUUUGAGGAUCCAUUAUAAAGGGUUCUUUGAAGAAAAUAUUAAAGCUGCAUUAUGUA
Molecule: long non-coding RNA, 464 nt
Organism: Salvelinus fontinalis (brook trout)
Lineage: Eukaryota; Metazoa; Chordata; Actinopteri; Salmoniformes; Salmonidae
Exons: 2
Source: RefSeq, a predicted model, not a curated record